Glycine soja is the source of this 1386-nucleotide RNA transcript. It is a transcript of the gene named heavy metal-associated isoprenylated plant protein 36-like, with no coding region annotated. The transcript has 4 exons. Lineage: Eukaryota; Viridiplantae; Streptophyta; Magnoliopsida; Fabales; Fabaceae. The record is from RefSeq and is a predicted model, not a curated record.
GCAAGUGUGUUAUUCUGGUGUCAUUGUCACAUUAUACUUUGAUAGCCAUUCUGGCCUCUGCUUUCUUUGCUCCCCAACGGAGUACACCACCACUGCUACACUCUUGGCAUUUUCCCUUCCCUUUUUAUUUUUAUUUUUAAGUCUCACUCUCAUUUUGCCUUUCUCCAAUUCCUUCACUUCACACUCCCUCUAUUCUAAUGGAUGCAAAGUCUGCUGAAGCUGUUGUUCCCUCAGAACCGUUGAAGUAUCAGACAUGGUUGUUGAAAGUUUCGAUCCACUGUGAAGGUUGCAGGAGGAAAGUUAAGAAGGUUCUGCAGAGCAUUGAUGGUGUUUUUACCACAACGGUUGACCCGCAACAGCAGAAAGUAACCGUCACUGGAAGCGUUGGAGUUGAGACGCUGAUAAGGAAACUGGUCAAAGCUGGAAAACACGCCGAGAUUUGGCCGGAGAAUCUCGCUGCCACCGGAAAGGGAAAGAGCUCCUGCAAAGACAAGAUGCAGCGGCAGAACAACAACAACAACAAAGAACAAGGAGAACCAGAAAGCGUGGAAAACAACUCUACUACAGUAAAUGCAGAACCCAACAGUAGAAACACGAGCAAAAAAAAGGGAAUUGAAAAAAAUGCUGAAAAGCGCAACAACGGCGGAAACAAGAGCACCGGAAGCUCAAAGUCCGUCGGCGUAGCCGGAGAAAGUGAGGCAGCGGAACCGGAGAACAAGGGUGGUCAACGUGAAGGAGGUUCUGGGAAGAAAAAGAAAAAGAAAGGUCAAAGUGGGGGUGAGAGAGCAGCAUGUGGUGAUGCACCUGCACACACUGGAUCGGAGGUGCAGUGUUCUGGGCAGGUGAAUCUGAGCCAUACACGUCAGCAAUCAUACAUGUAUCCAGAAAGUUACUGUUAUCCCCCACAGCCACAGGUGUAUCUUGCAACAACCCAGAACAACAACAACAGGUUAUGUCCUUCUUACUAUGUUUCACCAUUGCCCUACAUGUGUGCAGGCUUCGACCAUGACCCUCCUUAUCGCUUUCAAUCUCCACCCUUCGAGAUCUUCAGUGACGAGAAUGCCAACGCUUGUUCUAUUAUGUGACCAAAGAUAAACAACUUGGUGCUUUUUGUUUCUUUGAUGGUCCCAGCUAGAGAGAUGGGAGAUAAGAAGAUACCGUGUCAAUGCCAUCUCCAAAGGGCAUUUCGUUAGGACUGUGGUGUGGCUGUUUCGGCAGCAACAACCAAAUGAGGCUAGAUAGAAAUUAUAAUUGUUAUAAGAGGGGUUGACAUUCGCUUAUUUUAUUCUACAUGAUUUCAGAACUAGUCCAUUUAGCAUCUAAAAACUUGGAUAAGUUUUGUUUGAAAAUGGAUUGCAAAUUGUGCAACUUGGAAGUGUAACAAGA